Molecule: ribosomal RNA, 538 nt
Filed under: uncultured Acinetobacter sp.
Lineage: Bacteria; Pseudomonadati; Pseudomonadota; Gammaproteobacteria; Moraxellales; Moraxellaceae
Description: bacterial SSU rRNA
Rfam family: Bacterial small subunit ribosomal RNA
Source: RNAcentral
CUGAAUUCAGCGGCGGACGGGUGAGUAAUGCCUAGGAAUCUGCCUGGUAGUGGGGGACAACGUUUCGAAAGGAACGCUAAUACCGCAUACGUCCUACGGGAGAAAGCAGGGGACCUUCGGGCCUUGCGCUAUCAGAUGAGCCUAGGUCGGAUUAGCUAGUUGGUGAGGUAAUGGCUCACCAAGGCGACGAUCCGUAACUGGUCUGAGAGGAUGAUCAGUCACACUGGAACUGAGACACGGUCCAGACUCCUACGGGAGGCAGCAGUGGGGAAUAUUGGACAAUGGGCGAAAGCCUGAUCCAGCCAUGCCGCGUGUGUGAAGAAGGCCUUAUGGUUGUAAAGCACUUUAAGCGAGGAGGAGGCUACCUAGAUUAAUACUCUAGGAUAGUGGACGUUACUCGCAGAAUAAGCACCGGCUAACUCUGUGCCAGCAGCCGCGGUAAUACAGAGGGUGCGAGCGUUAAUCGGAUUUACUGGGCGUAAAGCGUGCGUAGGCGGCUUUUUAAGUCGGAUGUGAAAUCCCUGAGCUUAACUUAGGA